UACGAAGGGGGCUAGCGUUGCUCGGAAUUACUGGGCGUAAAGCGCACGUAGGCGGACCGAUAAGUCGGGGGUGAAAUCCUGGAGCUCAACUCCAGAACUGCCUUCGAAACUGCCGGUCUUGAGUUCGGGAGAGGUGAGUGGAACUGCGAGUGUAGAGGUGAAAUUCGUAGAUAUUCGCAAGAACACCAGUGGCGAAGGCGGCUCACUGGCCCGAUACUGACGCUGAGGUGCGAAAGCGUGGGGAG
This 245-nucleotide ribosomal RNA is filed under the name uncultured bacterium. Its description in RNAcentral is "partial 16S ribosomal RNA". It matches the Rfam family "Bacterial small subunit ribosomal RNA", at positions 524 to 768 of the family's 1533-position model. RNAcentral also lists the same sequence under 1 other name. The record is from RNAcentral.